ACUCCUACGGGAGGCAGCAGUAGGGAAUCUUCCGCAAUGGGCGAAAGCCUGACGGAGCAACGCCGCGUGAGUGAUGAAGGUCUUCGGAUCGUAAAACUCUGUUAUUAGGGAAGAACAAACGUGUAAGUAACUGUGCCAUCGUCUGACGUACCUAAUCAGAAAGCCACGGCUAACUACGUGCCAGCAGCCGCGGUAAUACGUAGGUGGCAAAGCGUUAUCCGGAAAUUAUUGGGCGUAAAGCGCGCGUAGGCGGUUUUUUAAGUCUGAUGUGAAAGCCCACGGCUCAACCGUGGAGGGUCAUUGGAAACUGGAAAAACUUGAGUGCAGAAAGAGGAAAAGUGGAAAUUCCAUGUGUAGCGGUGAAAUGCGCAGAGAUAUGGAGGAAACACCAGUGGCGAAGGCGACUUUCUGGUCUGUAACUGACGCUGAUGUGCGAAAAGCGUGGGGAUCAAAACAGGAUUAGAUACCCUGGUAGGCGUAGU
This 482-nucleotide ribosomal RNA is filed under the name uncultured bacterium. Its description in RNAcentral is "bacterial SSU rRNA". It matches the Rfam family "Bacterial small subunit ribosomal RNA", at positions 335 to 803 of the family's 1533-position model. The record is from RNAcentral.